GGUUAAGCGACUAAGCGUACACGGUGGAUGCCCUGGCAGUCAGAGGCGAUGAAGGACGUGCUAAUCUGCGAAAAGCGCCGGCGAGGUGAUAUGAACCUUUGACCCGGCGAUGUCCGAAUGGGGAAACCCAGUGCAAUCCGUUGCACUAUCGUUAACUGAAUACAUAGGUUAACGAGGCGAACCGGGGGAACUGAAACAUCUAAGUACCCCGAGGAAAAGAAAUCAACCGAGAUUCCCCCAGUAGCGGCGAGCGAACGGGGAGCAGCCCGGAGUCUGAAUCAGCUUGUGUGUUAGUGGAACGGUCUGGAAAGUCCGACGGUACAGGGUGAUAGUCCCGUACACGAAAGCACACAUGCUGUGAACUCGAAGAGUAGGGCGGGACACGUGGUAUCCUGUCUGAAUAUGGGGGGACCAUCCUCCAAGGCUAAAUACUCCUGACUGACCGAUAGUGAACCAGUACCGUGAGGGAAAGGCGAAAAGAACCCCGGCGAGGGGAGUGAAAAAGAACCUGAAACCGUGUACGUACAAGCAGUGGGAGCCUCUUUAUGGGGUGACUGCGUACCUUUUGUAUAAUGGGUCAGCGACUUAUAUUCUGUAGCAAGGUUAACCGUAUAGGGGAGCCGAAGGGAAACCGAGUCUUAACUGGGCGUUAAGUUGCAGGGUAUAGACCCGAAACCCGGUGAUCUAGCCAUGGGCAGGUUGAAGGUUGGGUAACACUAACUGGAGGACCGAACCGACUAAUGUUGAAAAAUUAGCGGAUGACCUGUGGCUGGGGGUGAAAGGCCAAUCAAACCGGGAGAUAGCUGGUUCUCCCCGAAAGCUAUUUAGGUAGCGCCUCGUGAACUCAUCUUCGGGGGUAGAGCACUGUUUCGGCUAGGGGGCCAUCCCGGCUUACCAACCCGAUGCAAACUACGAAUACCGAAGAAUGUUAUCACGGGAGACACACGGCGGGUGCUAACGUCCGUCGUGAAGAGGGAAACAACCCAGACCGCCAGCUAAGGUCCCAAAGUCAUGGUUAAGUGGGAAACGAUGUGGGAAGGCACAGACAGCCAGGAUGUUGGCUUAGAAGCAGCCAUCAUUUAAAGAAAGCGUAAUAGCUCACUGGUCGAGUCGGCCUGCGCGGAAGAUGUAACGGGGCUAAACCAUGCACCGAAGCUGCGGCAGCGACGCUUAUGCGUUGUUGGGUAGGGGAGCGUUCUGUAAGCCGUUGAAGGUGUCCUGUGAGGGGUGCUGGAGGUAUCAGAAGUGCGAAUGCUGACAUAAGUAACGAUAAAGCGGGUGAAAAGCCCGCUCGCCGGAAGACCAAGGGUUCCUGUCCAACGUUAAUCGGGGCAGGGUGAGUCGACCCCUAAGGCGAGGCCGAAAGGCGUAGUCGAUGGGAAACAGGUUAAUAUUCCUGUACUUGGUGUUACUGCGAAGGGGGGACGGAGAAGGCUAUGUCAGCCGGGCGACGGUUGUCCCGGUUUAAGCAUGUAGGCGGAGGUUCCAGGUAAAUCCGGUACCUUAUUAACGCUGAGGUGUGAUGACGAGGCACUACGGUGCUGAAGUGAUAAAUGCCCUGCUUCCAGGAAAAGCCUCUAAGCAUCAGGUAACACGAAAUCGUACCCCAAACCGACACAGGUGGUCAGGUAGAGAAUACCAAGGCGCUUGAGAGAACUCGGGUGAAGGAACUAGGCAAAAUGGUGCCGUAACUUCGGGAGAAGGCACGCUGAUAUGUAGGUGAAGUCCCUGCGGACGGAGCUGAAAUCAGUCGAAGAUACCAGCUGGCUGCAACUGUUUAUUAAAAACACAGCACUGUGCAAACACGAAAGUGGACGUAUACGGUGUGACGCCUGCCCGGUGCCGGAAGGUUAAUUGAUGGGGUUAGCGGCAACGCGAAGCUCUUGAUCGAAGCCCCGGUAAACGGCGGCCGUAACUAUAACGGUCCUAAGGUAGCGAAAUUCCUUGUCGGGUAAGUUCCGACCUGCACGAAUGGCGUAAUGAUGGCCAGGCUGUCUCCACCCGAGACUCAGUGAAAUUGAACUCGCUGUGAAGAUGCAGUGUACCCGCGGCAAGACGGAAAGACCCCGUGAACCUUUACUAUAGCUUGACACUGAACACUGGUCCUUGAUGUGUAGGAUAGGUGGGAGGCUUUGAAGCGUGGACGCCAGUCUGCGUGGAGCCAACCUUGAAAUACCACCCUUUAAUGGCUGGUGUUCUAACGUAGACCCGUAAUCCGGGUUGCGGACAGUGUCUGGUGGGUAGUUUGACUGGGGCGGUCUCCUCCCAAAGAGUAACGGAGGAGCACGAAGGUUGGCUAAUCCUGGUCGGACAUCAGGAGGUUAGUGCAAUGGCAUAAGCCAGCUUGACUGCGAGCGUGACGGCGCGAGCAGGUGCGAAAGCAGGUCAUAGUGAUCCGGUGGUUCUGAAUGGAAGGGCCAUCGCUCAACGGAUAAAAGGUACUCCGGGGAUAACAGGCUGAUACCGCCCAAGAGUUCAUAUCGACGGCGGUGUUUGGCACCUCGAUGUCGGCUCAUCACAUCCUGGGGCUGAAGUAGGUCCCAAGGGUAUGGCUGUUCGCCAUUUAAAGUGGUACGCGAGCUGGGUUUAGAACGUCGUGAGACAGUUCGGUCCCUAUCUGCCGUGGGCGCUGGAGAAUUGAGGGGGGCUGCUCCUAGUACGAGAGGACCGGAGUGGACGCAUCACUGGUGUUCGGGUUGUCAUGCCAAUGGCACUGCCCGGUAGCUAAAUGCGGAAAAGAUAAGUGCUGAAAGCAUCUAAGCACGAAACUUGCCCCGAGAUGAGUUCUCCCUGAGACUUUAAGUCUCCUGAAGGAACGUUGAAGACGACGACGUUGAUAGGUCGGGUGUGUAAGCGCAGCGAUGCGUUGAGCUAACCGAUACUAAUGAACCGUGAGGCUUAACCUU
This 2906-nucleotide ribosomal RNA is filed under the name Enterobacter hormaechei. Its description in RNAcentral is "23S ribosomal RNA". It matches the Rfam family "Bacterial large subunit ribosomal RNA". The record is from RNAcentral. Lineage: Bacteria; Pseudomonadati; Pseudomonadota; Gammaproteobacteria; Enterobacterales; Enterobacteriaceae.